This 253-nucleotide ribosomal RNA is filed under the name uncultured bacterium. RNAcentral's name for it is "partial 16S ribosomal RNA". It matches the Rfam family "Bacterial small subunit ribosomal RNA", at positions 524 to 776 of the family's 1533-position model. The record is from RNAcentral.
UACGUAUGGGGCUAGCGUUAUCCGGAUUCAUUGGGCGUAAAGAGCGCGUAGGCGGCUUGUUAAGUCAGAUGUGAAAUCUGUGGGCUCAACCCGCAGCCUGCAUCUGAAACUGGCAGGCUUGAGUCUGGUAGAGGAUAGUGGAAUUCCAGGUGUAGCGGUGAAAUGCGCAGAUAUCUGGAGGAACACCAGUGGCGAAGGCGGCUAUCUGGGCCACGACUGACGCUGAGGCGCGAAAGCUAGGGGAGCGAACAGG